This is a long non-coding RNA of Neofelis nebulosa (Clouded leopard), 928 nucleotides long. RefSeq lists it as uncharacterized. The record is from RefSeq and is a predicted model, not a curated record. The transcript has 3 exons. NCBI's taxonomy places the organism in Eukaryota, Metazoa, Chordata, Mammalia, Carnivora, Felidae.
CACCCAGCCCUGCCCGGGCGUCACGGAAACCCUGGAUGACGACAGGUGCCUCCUGGCUCCUGGGAUUGCGGUGGGGGGCAAAGGGUCACCCUGAGUCAGCCGGACCGAGUAGGCGCAGGGGGCGUUGCUGGGGUCCGGCAGGGGUGUCCCACUGUGGGGACUGUCCCAGAGGAGCUGCGACGCCGACCGCAGAGGUCUAGGCUCUUCUGGGUACUGGAAACUUCAGCUAUGAAAGACUGCCGUCAAGGAGCCGGCACCCUGGCAGGGACAUGCUGAACAGACAACUCACACCUGGAACGUGUGUACAUCUGUGGCCCGUCUCUCCCGCCGUAACGAACGCUCUAGAAGGACAUUGCCUAUCUUGUCCAUGGCUCUAGCUCCAGCGCAUAGGACAGUGGUGACCAGCACACCCGAGGUGCUCAGUGAACACGUGUUGAAUGCGUCCCCCCCUCCAGUGAAGCCCUAACUCCCCAUCCCUGUUAAUGCGACCUUAUUUGGAAAUGAUCGAUCAAGUUGAGGUCAUCAGGGUGGGCUCUGAUCCAAUACGGCCGUGUCCUUACAAAAAAGGGGAGACUGAAGACAGACACAUAUAGAGGGAAAGGUGAUGUGAAGACACAGAAAGAGUGCCAUCUACGAACCAUGGAAGCCCUGAGACCGCCGGAAACUCGGAGAGAGGCCUGGAACAGACACCUUGAUCUUGAACUCCUAGUCUCGAGAAUCUUGAGCCGAUAGAUCUGUGUCGUUGGUGGCCUUUGUUAGGGCAGCCCCGGGAAAGGAAGACACCCAGCUUAUUCCUUCUGUGCUCCCCUGUGGGCGUGUCCAGCUCCCCAUCCGUCCGUGCCCCACACUGUAGACUAUUGUCAACUGUCUUUCCAAUGCUGAGCGCCCUGAAGGCAAGAGAACUAUGUCUGAUUGGCUCUGCUCCCUA